RNAcentral lists this transfer RNA (72 nucleotides) under Heterocephalus glaber (naked mole-rat). It matches the Rfam family "tRNA". Rfam says of the family: Transfer RNA (tRNA) molecules are approximately 80 nucleotides in length. Lineage: Eukaryota; Metazoa; Chordata; Mammalia; Rodentia; Bathyergidae. The record is from Rfam by way of RNAcentral.
GGGGUUAUAACUUAGUGGUAGAGCUCUUGCCCAGCAAACAUGAGGCUCUGAGUUAAAGUCCCAGUAACCCUU